AUUGAACGCUGGCGGCAGGCCUAACACAUGCAAGUCGAACGGUAACAGAAAGCAUCUUGCUGCUUUGCUGACGAGUGGCGGACGGGUGAGUAAUGUCUGGGAAACGUCCUGAUGGAGGGGGAUAACUACCGGAAACGGUUGCUAAUACCGCAUAGCGUCGCAAGACCAAAGAGGGUGACCUUCGGGCCUCUUGCCAUCGGAUGUGCCCAGGUGGGAUUAGCUAGUAGGUGGGGUAACGGCUCACCUAGGCGACGAUCCCUACCUGGUCUGAGAGGAUGACCAGUCACACUGGAACUGAGACACGGUCCAGACUCCUACGGGAGGCAGCAGUGGGGAAUAUUGGACAAUGGGCGCAAGCCUGAUGCAGCCAUGCCGCGUGUAUGAAGAAGGCCUUCGGGUUGUAAAGUACUUUAAGCGGGGAGGAAGGGAGUAAAGUUAAUACCUUGGCUCAUUGACGUUACCCGCAGAAGAAGCACCGGCUAACUCCGUG
RNAcentral lists this ribosomal RNA (490 nucleotides) under uncultured bacterium. RNAcentral's name for it is "partial 16S ribosomal RNA". It matches the Rfam family "Bacterial small subunit ribosomal RNA", at positions 30 to 507 of the family's 1533-position model. The record is from RNAcentral.